RNAcentral lists this ribosomal RNA (207 nucleotides) under Klebsiella pneumoniae. RNAcentral's name for it is "partial 23S ribosomal RNA". It matches the Rfam family "Bacterial large subunit ribosomal RNA", at positions 2591 to 2799 of the family's 2925-position model. The record is from RNAcentral. Lineage: Bacteria; Pseudomonadati; Pseudomonadota; Gammaproteobacteria; Enterobacterales; Enterobacteriaceae.
AAGUGGUACGCGAGCUGGGUUUAGAACGUCGUGAGACAGUUCGGUCCCUAUCUGCCGUGGGCGCUGGAGAAUUGAGGGGGCUGCUCCUAGUACGAGAGGACCGGAGUGGACGCAUCACUGGUGUUCGGGUUGUCAUGCCAAUGGCAUGCCCGGUAGCUAAAUGCGGAAGAGAUAAGUGCUGAAAGCAUCUAAGCACGAAACUUGCCC